Molecule: ribosomal RNA, 720 nt
Filed under: Triticum aestivum (bread wheat)
Lineage: Eukaryota; Viridiplantae; Streptophyta; Magnoliopsida; Poales; Poaceae
Description: partial small subunit ribosomal RNA
Source: RNAcentral
AUGGACACAAACCCCUUGGUGACAUGCUGGAACAUUCGAGGCUUGAACAAUCCGGCCAAAAGAAGAGCGGUGAAGGAGUUUUUAGACUCGGUUAAGCCUAGCAUAGUGUGUUUACAAGAGACUAAACUUGCAGUUGUAGAUGUUUUUCUGUUAUUACAAUGUUGUAGAACGUCUUUGGACGGCUUUGCCUACUUGCCGAUGGAGGAGAUGAGAGGUGGCAUUAUCUUAGCUUGGGACACCACGGUUUUGCAUAUCGACCAUAUCCAGAGGGACGCCAACUCCCUCACAGGACUGGCUCGCCCCAAGGUUGGAGAGGAGUGGUGGAUCGCGAUGGUCUAUGGACCACAAGGAGACGAGCUCAAAACUCAGUUCCUCGUAGACUUGGAAGCUAGGAGAACAUUGUGCACGGGGCCUUGGAUGGUCCUUGGCGACUUCAACAUGAUCUUGCGUGCCUCGGAGAAAAGCAACAUGAACCUCAAUCGCACCAUGAUGAACAAAUUUAGAGCCUUCGUUGAUAAUAACGAGUUGAAGGAGCUUUACAUGCACGGACACCAUUUUACUUGGACUAACGAGCGAGAGGCCCCAACAUUUACCAAGAUUGAUCGCAUCUUGGUCUCCAUUGAUUGGGAGCUGGCUAGACAUGACUACCUCCUCCAGGCGCUCUCCACAAACAUCUCAAACCACACACCCUUGCAUCUCUCGGUUGUUGCUCACCAUUAG